Molecule: long non-coding RNA, 693 nt
Filed under: Carica papaya (papaya)
Lineage: Eukaryota; Viridiplantae; Streptophyta; Magnoliopsida; Brassicales; Caricaceae
Description: long non-coding RNA (CPAP_LNC005772)
Source: RNAcentral
CAUACUUUUUGACUGUUCAAUGCAUUGAUGGUCAAUAGAUUUGUUGAGCAUGCCAUUUGUAUGUUCAUUGGACAUUUAAGUGUCCCUUAGUGGGUGAGUUAUGGAAUGCAAUAAUUGUUGCGUAAUGUCGGAUUUUAAAGGAACCACCACAUGAUUCUUGAGAUAGAUUAUAUGACACCCCGCACCUUUGUGCUUCAAGUGGUAUUAAGACUCCAGUUUAUUCGGGUCAUUGGGCAUUAAAUUUCUGUGAUAUAAUAUUUAUUUGUUUAUUUUAUUUUGGAUUUCUACCAUUUUUUCUUAAUUUAUCAAAAUUUAUUUUAGUUCGUUUUGUUUUUAAAUUUAAAAGAGAGAAAAAAAGAAAAUUUGGAAAAAAUUACUACUGAAAAAGCCUAGCCCCCGCAGGCAUGCCUAGAUGCCUGAGUAGGGAUGCCCGUGCGCCUGUGGACACGCGUGCCCGGCCAGCUUGGCGUGUGCCUAUAAGCCGGGUGCCCGCGUUGCACCCUAUCUUCACGUGAAUCCCACACACAAGCAUGCACGUCAGACGCGCUGCUUAGGGCGCGCGGGCUUGUAGCGUCAGGUGUGCACUUAUGUGAUGCGGCUGCGUAGGACUCAUUUGCCACGCAUGUCAGUGCACGAGCCAGGCCUAGCUUGUCGCGUGUGGCAUACUUGGACCAUGUGCGGUGCUUCGAGCCC